ACAGAGGCGGCAAGCGUUGUUCGGAAUUAUUGGGCGUAAAGAGCACGUAGGCGGCCUUGCAAGUCAGUUUUGAAAGCCUUCCUCUUAACGGAAGAACUUCAUCUGAUACUACAGGGCUUGAUUACGGGAGGGGAGAGUGGAACUUCUGGUGGAGAGGUGAAAUGCGUAGAUAUCAGAAGGAAAAUCGGCGGCGAAAGAGACUCUCUGGCAAGUAACUGACGCUGAGGUGCGAAAGAUAGGGGAGCAAAAGG
This 251-nucleotide ribosomal RNA is filed under the name uncultured prokaryote. RNAcentral's name for it is "partial 16S ribosomal RNA". It matches the Rfam family "Bacterial small subunit ribosomal RNA", at positions 525 to 775 of the family's 1533-position model. The record is from RNAcentral.